RNAcentral lists this ribosomal RNA (500 nucleotides) under uncultured bacterium. Its description in RNAcentral is "partial 16S ribosomal RNA". It matches the Rfam family "Bacterial small subunit ribosomal RNA", at positions 30 to 522 of the family's 1533-position model. The record is from RNAcentral.
AUUGAACGCUGGCGGCAGGCUUAACACAUGCAAGUCGAGCGGGGAAAAGUAGCUUGCUACUUAACCUAGCGGCGGACGGGUGAGUAAUGCUUAGGAAUCUGCCUAUUAGUGGGGGACAACAUCUCGAAAGGGAUGCUAAUACCGCAUACGUCCUACGGGAGAAAGCAGGGGACCUUCGGGCCUUGCGCUAAUAGAUGAGCCUAAGUCGGAUUGGCUAGUUGGUGGGGUAAAGGCCUACCAAGGCGACGAUCUGUAGCGGGUCUGAGAGGAUGAUCCGCCACACUGGGACUGAGACACGGCCCAGACUCCUACGGGAGGCAGCAGUGGGGAAUAUUGGACAAUGGGGGGAACCCUGAUCCAGCCAUGCCGCGUGUGUGAAGAAGGCCUUUUGGUUGUAAAGCACUUUAAGCGAGGAGGAGGCUACCGAGAUUAAUACUCUUGGAUAGUGGACGUUACUCGCAGAAUAAGCACCGGCUAACUCUGUGCCAGCCGCCGCGUAA